Molecule: ribosomal RNA, 253 nt
Filed under: uncultured bacterium
Lineage: Bacteria
Description: partial 16S ribosomal RNA
Rfam family: Bacterial small subunit ribosomal RNA
Source: RNAcentral
UACGUAGGGCGCAAGCGUUGUCCGGAAUUAUUGGGCGUAAAGAGCUCGUAGGCGGUUUGUCGCGUCUGCUGUGAAAACCUAAGGCUCAACCUUGGGCUUGCAGUGGGUACGGGCAGACUAGAGUGCGGUAGGGGUGACUGGAAUUCCUGGUGUAGCGGUGGAAUGCGCAGAUAUCAGGAGGAACACCGAUGGUGAAGGCAGGUCACUGGGCCGCAACUGACGCUGAGGAGCGAAAGCAUGGGGAGCGAACAGG